UCUCGAUUCCUAGGUUAGAGUAGUCAAGAAAUUUUAUUCAUAAAAGUAGGUAAAGCCCAAGUAUACAAGAAGUAUACAUGAGAAGUACCUAACUAGGGUUUACAACCGAAAGUAGAAAAUCAUAGACAUUUAGCCCAUUAA
Molecule: long non-coding RNA, 141 nt
Organism: Juglans microcarpa x Juglans regia
Lineage: Eukaryota; Viridiplantae; Streptophyta; Magnoliopsida; Fagales; Juglandaceae
Exons: 3
Source: RefSeq, a predicted model, not a curated record